Molecule: ribosomal RNA, 508 nt
Filed under: uncultured Pseudomonadota bacterium
Lineage: Bacteria; Pseudomonadati; Pseudomonadota
Description: bacterial SSU rRNA
Rfam family: Bacterial small subunit ribosomal RNA
Source: RNAcentral
AAUGGGGGCAACCCUGAUCCAGCCAUGCCGCGUGAGUGAUGAAGGCCUUCGGGUUGUAAAGCUCUUUUGGCGGGGACGAUGAUGACGGUACCCGCAGAAUAAGCCCCGGCUAACUUCGUGCCAGCAGCCGCGGUAAGACGAAGGGGGCUAGCGUUGUUCGGAAUUACUGGGCGUAAAGCGCGUGUAGGCGGUUUUCCAAGUUGGGUGUGAAAGCCUUGGGCUUAACCCAAGAAAUGCACUCAGUACUGGAAGACUAGAGGACCGGAGAGGAUAGUGGAAUUCCCAGUGUAGUGGUGAAAUACGUAGAGAUUGGGAAGAACACCAGUGGCGAAGGCGGCUAUCUGGACGGUUUCUGACGCUAAGACGCGAAAGCGUGGGGAGCAAACAGGAUUAGAUACCCUGGUAGUCCACGCCGUAAACGAUGGGUGCUGGACGUUGGCGAGCUUGCUCGUCAGUGUCGCAGCUAACGCGUUAAGCACCCCGCCUGGGGAGUACGGCCGCAAGGUUG